RNAcentral lists this ribosomal RNA (507 nucleotides) under Vesicomya lepta. Its description in RNAcentral is "partial 16S ribosomal RNA". It matches the Rfam family "Bacterial large subunit ribosomal RNA", at positions 1799 to 2616 of the family's 2925-position model. Lineage: Eukaryota; Metazoa; Mollusca; Bivalvia; Venerida; Vesicomyidae. The record is from RNAcentral.
CCUGUUUAUCAAAAACAUGGCCUUUUGAUUUAUGUGUAAUAUAAAAGGUUGGACCUGCCCAGUGGUUUAUCUAAAUGGCUGCAGUGAAUAACUGUACAAAGGUAGCGAAAUCAGUUGUCCUUUAAAUGGGGGAAGGUAUGAAAGGUUUGACGGUAAAGAAGCUGUCUCUUAAAAAUAGUGUGAAGUUUCCGUCUAAGUGAAAAGGCUUAGAUUUUUUAAAAAGACGAGAAGACCCUAUUGAGCUUAAUUAUAUUUUUUUUAUUAAGAAAGUUGAAGUUUUAUUGGGGCAAUAGGAAGCUAUAAGUAAUGCUUCUUUUUAAGGUAAGGAUCCUCCAUGGGAGAAGUAAGCAAAAGUUACCAUAGGGAUAACAGCGUUAUCUUUCUUAAGAGUUCUAAUUGAGGGAAAGGUUUGCGACCUCGAUGUUGGAUUAAGAUGUCUUUUUGGUGCAGCAGCUAAAAAAGUAAGACUGUUCGUCUUUUAAAAUUUUACGUGAUCUGAGUUCAGAC